GGGUAAGAACCUCACCUAUCUUGAUAUGUAGGUGGGGUUGUGAUAUAUUGUGCCCAGUGGGCCACUUUUGGUAAGCAGAACUGGCGCUGUGGGAUGAACCAAACGCAAUGUUACGGUGCCAAAAUUUACAACUCAUGCAGAUACCAUGAAAGGCGUUGCUUGCUUAAAACAGCAGGACGGUGGACAUGGAAGUCGUAAUCCGCUAAGGAGUGUGUAACAACUCACCUGCCGAAGCAACUAGCCCUUAAAAUGGAUGGCGCUUAAGUUGUAUACCUAUACAUUGCCGCUAAUGUAGAUGGUUUAUAUGCAAUUUCGGUUACAUAUAAAUUUUGAAACAUUAGUGAGUAGGAGGGUACAAUGGUGUGCCUAGAAGUGUUUGG
Molecule: ribosomal RNA, 380 nt
Filed under: Apocephalus tritarsus
Lineage: Eukaryota; Metazoa; Arthropoda; Insecta; Diptera; Phoridae
Description: partial 28S ribosomal RNA
Rfam family: Eukaryotic large subunit ribosomal RNA
Source: RNAcentral